UACGUAGGGGGCUAGCGUUGUCCGGAAUCAUUGGGCGUAAAGCGCGUGUAGGCGGUUCGGUAAGUCCGCUGUGAAAGUCGAGGGCUCAACCCUCGAAUGCCGGUGGAUACUGUCGGGCUUGAGUACGGGAGAGGCGAGUGGAAUUCCUGGUGUAGCGGUGAAAUGCGCAGAUAUCAGGAGGAACACCGAUUGCGAAGGCAGCUCGCUGGAACGUUACUGACGCUGAGACGCGAAAGCGUGGGGAGCGAACAGG
RNAcentral lists this ribosomal RNA (253 nucleotides) under uncultured bacterium. Its description in RNAcentral is "partial 16S ribosomal RNA". It matches the Rfam family "Bacterial small subunit ribosomal RNA", at positions 524 to 776 of the family's 1533-position model. The record is from RNAcentral.